This is a non-coding RNA of Datura stramonium (jimsonweed), 82 nucleotides long. The record is from the annotation of a GenBank genome assembly. Lineage: Eukaryota; Viridiplantae; Streptophyta; Magnoliopsida; Solanales; Solanaceae.
GGGUCCAAGAGCUCGGUUUAUGGUGGAGCGCUCGAUGCUUAUUGCAGUCGAGAGGUCGGUGGUUCGAAUCCACCUGGAUCCC